RNAcentral lists this unclassified non-coding RNA (391 nucleotides) under soil metagenome. Its description in RNAcentral is "partial contains 5.8S ribosomal RNA, internal transcribed spacer 2, and large subunit ribosomal RNA". The stretch from base 1 to 122 matches the Rfam family "5.8S ribosomal RNA", at positions 35 to 154 of the family's 154-position model. The record is from RNAcentral.
GAUGAAGAACGUAGAGAAAUGCGAUACUUGGUGUGAAUUGCAGAAUCCCGUGAACCAUCGAGUCUUUGAACGCAAGUUGCGCCCGAAGCCAUUAGGCCGAGGGCACGCCUGCCUGGGCGUCACACGUCGUUGCCCCCCCAUCUACUCCUUCGGGAUUGCGGGGGGCGGAUGAUGGCCUCCCGUGCGCCUCGUCGCGCGGUUGGCAUAAAUGCCAAGUCCUCGGCGACGCACGCCACGACAAUCGGUGGUUGCGAAACCUCGGUUGCCCGUCGUGUGCGGUCGUCGCGCAUCGAGGGCUCGAAAAAAUUGCCGGGCUCCGGCUCGGCUUUCAACGCGACCCCAGGUCAGGCGGGGUUACCCGCUGAAUUUAAGCAUAUCAAUAAGCGGAGGA